RNAcentral lists this long non-coding RNA (1559 nucleotides) under Marmota monax (woodchuck). Lineage: Eukaryota; Metazoa; Chordata; Mammalia; Rodentia; Sciuridae. The record is from RNAcentral.
UGUAAAUCUAGCAACUUGGGAGGCUGAGGCAGAAGGAUCAUGAGUUCAAAGCCAGCCUCAGCAACUUAGCAAGACUCUAAGCAAUAAUUUAGCAAGAACUUGUCUCAAAAUAAAAAAUUUAAAAAAUGGACGGGUUAUGUGGCUCAGUGGUUAAGUAUCCCUGGGUUCAAUCCCUGGUACUAAACAAACAAACAAAAAAAAACUAAAAACUGAGAAUAGACUAGCAAAAUUUCAGAGUAUUUAUUUAAGAAAAAUGGUAGACUUCUUAUAAGAGCUUUGUACAUUUUUAUUCUGCUCAGUUCCUAUCUCUCUCUUUCUCUCUGUGGUAGUGUUGAAAACCAAAUAUUGUAAUUAUGGUUGGGAAAAACAGUCUGGCAGCCACUGGAAGGAACUUAAGGGCACUGACACUUCCCGAAAGACCCAUCCCUAGAGAACUGACAGUCUGACCUCUAUAGCAGCUCCUUGCUAAUUCCAUUCUCAGGUCUUAUCUUUAUGUGACCUAAUUUGGAGUUCACCCUGUGCACAAAGUCCCUUUUUAAAAAGAAUCAGUGGCAGUUGUUUACCAUCACAGGUACCUGAAGUGAUAAUACCAGAUGGAGCAAAAGAGAAACUCACUAAGAACCUUAAAAGGAAAAACUGGGCAAUGAGAUGUUCAAAAGAGGCUUUGGAAAACUCCAUCAUAUUCCUGGAAAUCCAGAAAGUCUCAUGCACGUAUAGUGCUAUGCACACAGCUAGGAAGAAACAUAGACAUCCCUAGUCCCUCACCUCUGGCUGACCUUGAUAUUCUGUACAAUCAGGAAAUAUAACUUAAGUCAUACAAAAGAAAAAAAAAUAUUGAUUAAUUAGACUUUAUUAAAAUUGAACUUUUGUGCCUCAAAGGACACCAAAAAAAAGUGUAAAGAUAACAGAAUAGGAGAAAAUAUUUGUAAAUUAUAUAUCUGAUAAAGAGCUUGUAUUUAGGACUGUUUUUUCUAGUUCUCUGAAGAAUGUCAUUAGUAUUUUAAUGGGAAUUGCCUUGAAUCUAUAUAUUGCUUUUGGUAAUGUGGCCAUUUUAACAGUAUUAAUUCUGCUUAUCUGUGAACAUGGGAGGUAUUUCCAUCUGAGGUCCUCUUCAAUUUCUUCCUUUAGCGUUCUGUUGCUUUCAUUGUAGAGGUAUUUCACCUCCUUGGUUAGAUUUAUUCCUAAAUUGUGUUAUUUUAGUGUUUUGUUUUGUUCUGUUUGCAGCUAUUGUGAAUGGAAUUGUUUUCCUGAUUUUUUUCUCAGCAGAUUCAUUACUGGUAUUUAGGAAAGUUACUGGUUUUCAUAUGUUGAUUUUGCAACCUGCUACUUUGAUGAAUUCAUUAGCACUAGCAAUCUUUUGGUGGAGUUUUUUUGAUCUUCCAAGUAUAGGAGUAUAUCAUCUGCUAACAGUAAUAAUUUGACUUCUUCCAUUCCUAUUUUUAUCCUUUUUAUUUUCUUUCUCUUGCCUAAUUUCUCUGACAAGAGUUUGUAUUUAGAAUGUGUAAAGAAAUUUUAUAACUCAAUAAUAAAUGAAUAAAUAACCCAAUUUAAAAAUGGGC